Molecule: long non-coding RNA, 634 nt
Organism: Mytilus trossulus (common blue mussel)
Lineage: Eukaryota; Metazoa; Mollusca; Bivalvia; Mytilida; Mytilidae
Exons: 3
Source: RefSeq, a predicted model, not a curated record
AAUAUGGUCUAUUAAUAUUGAUUAAUUAUAUAUAUAUUAUAAUUUCAUAUAAAAAUAAUUUGUUUAUCUAUGGUUUCAGUAUUCAGUAUUUGUUUGGAAUUUUUAUCAUGAUAAACAACGCGGAUACUGUCUGGUGAAUAUCUUAUUGUACAUAUUUGAAUAAUGUCAUAUCAAGAGAAAUAAUCUAUAAUAUAUGCCAUGGCUACACGACUGAAGGUCCCUGGAUCGAUCUCGGUUGGGAGCAUUGAAAAUUUGGACAUUAGAAAGGUAUACGAUGAAGCUAAUUUAUGAAGGGGGGAGUAAAGAAAACGUCGUAAUUGAUAGGAAUGAAAUAAAGUAAAGCAUGUCAUGAAAACUUAUAUAGUCAACCAAUUUGCAAUCAAUUCUUCAUAAAAUAUGUUGUCAUAUUUCGUUUUGUAAUUUAUUUGAUAUAAUUAAUGCCGUCUUCGUAUAUCUUUGAACCCUUCGCCAUGGAAUCGUCCAUUUAUUACAAUCAGUUGUGAAUUGUCGCCAUAUUGAAUGGAUGCGAUUUUGAUAGCUCCGCUAAAACAAUUAAAAAUUCCACGCGACAAUAUAGUUUAUUAAUAUUGAUAAUUAUAUAUAUAUAUUAUGUUUUCAUAUAAAAUGAUUUGUU